Molecule: ribosomal RNA, 433 nt
Filed under: uncultured bacterium
Lineage: Bacteria
Description: partial 16S ribosomal RNA
Rfam family: Bacterial small subunit ribosomal RNA
Source: RNAcentral
AACGAACGCUGGCGGCAUGCCUAACACAUGCAAGUCGAACGAGACCUCCGGGUCUAGUGGCGCUCCUCUGCGUACCGCGUGGUAACCUGCACUUAGGUAACGUAUCCCUCCCUGAAAGGGGUGCUAAUACCGGUUAAUCUCAUAGGACAAAAGAUCUCUCGCUUUUGGGUGGGCCCGGGUUGGAUUAGCGAGUUGGUAGGGUAAUAGCCUACCAAGGAGAGGAUGCAUGGCUGGUCUGAGAGGAGGAUUAGCCGGACUGGGACUGAGACACGGCCCAGACUCCGACGGAAGGCAGCAGUGGGGAAUAUUGUACAAUGGGGGAAAGCCUGAUCCAGCAAUGCCGCGUGAGUGAUGAAGGCCGUAGGGUUGUAAAGCUCUUUUACCCGGGAUGAUAAUGACAGUACCGGGAGAAGAAGCUCCGGCUAACUCCGUG